UUCAGCUGCGCUAGCAAGCGCCUUAAAAAAACAGAUUGAUCAAUUUCUUUUUUUACAUAUUCAUAAUUUUGUGUUUUAGAAAAUAGAACUGUGGUAACAUGGACAUUUUUCAGUACAUUUGUUU
This is a long non-coding RNA of Sphaeramia orbicularis (orbiculate cardinalfish), 124 nucleotides long. RefSeq lists it as uncharacterized. The record is from RefSeq and is a predicted model, not a curated record. NCBI's taxonomy places the organism in Eukaryota, Metazoa, Chordata, Actinopteri, Kurtiformes, Apogonidae. The transcript is spliced from 4 exons.